AGGGUUUGAUCAUGGCUCAGAUUGAACGCUGGCGGUAUGCUUAACACAUGCAAGUCGAACGGAAACGAUGGUAGCUUGCUACCAGGCGUCGAGUGGCGGACGGGUGAGUAACGCGUAGGAAUCUACCUGAUAGUGGGGGAUAGCCCAGAGAAAUCUGGAUUAAUACCGCAUAAUCUCUAUGGAGUAAAGUGGGGGAUCUUCGGACCUCACGCUAUCAGAUGAGCCUGCGUAAGAUUAGCUAGUUGGUGAGGUAAAAGCUCACCAAGGCGACGAUCUUUAGCUGGUCUGAGAGGAUGAUCAGCCACACUGGGACUGAGACACGGCCCAGACUCCUACGGGAGGCAGCAGUGGGGAAUAUUGGACAAUGGGCGCAAGCCUGAUCCAGCAAUACCGCGUGUGUGAAGAAGGCCUGAGGGUUGUAAAGCACUUUCAAUUGUGAAGAAAAGCUUAGUGUUAAUAGCACUAAGCCUUGACGUUAACUUUAGAAGAAGCACCGGCUAACUCCGUGCCAGCAGCCGCGGUAAUACGGA
RNAcentral lists this ribosomal RNA (530 nucleotides) under uncultured bacterium. RNAcentral describes it as "bacterial SSU rRNA". It matches the Rfam family "Bacterial small subunit ribosomal RNA", at positions 8 to 529 of the family's 1533-position model. The record is from RNAcentral.